GGCUUGACGGUGUAGUGGUAACACAUCCCUUUCAAUUAGGAGGUACGUCGACUUGACUUCAUGGGAAGUCCCUUGUUCGAAUCAAGGUCAGGCCA
Molecule: non-coding RNA, 95 nt
Organism: Mycena alexandri
Lineage: Eukaryota; Fungi; Basidiomycota; Agaricomycetes; Agaricales; Mycenaceae
Source: the annotation of a GenBank genome assembly